Molecule: ribosomal RNA, 492 nt
Filed under: uncultured bacterium
Lineage: Bacteria
Description: partial 16S ribosomal RNA
Rfam family: Bacterial small subunit ribosomal RNA
Source: RNAcentral
AGUGAACGCUGGCGGUAGGCCUAACACAUGCAAGUCGAACGGCAGCACAGUAAGAGCUUGCUCUUACGGGUGGCGAGUGGCGGACGGGUGAGGAAUACAUCGGAAUCUACUUUUUCGUGGGGGAUAACGUAGGGAAACUUACGCUAAUACCGCAUACGACCUACGGGUGAAAGCAGGGGAUCUUCGGACCUUGCGCGAUUGAAUUAGCCGAUGUCGGAUUAGCUAGUUGGCGGGGUAAAGGCCCACCAAGGCGACGAUCCGUAGCUGGUCUGAGAGGAUGAUCAGCCACACUGGAACUGAGACACGGUCCAGACUCCUACGGGAGGCAGCAGUGGGGAAUAUUGGACAAUGGGCGAAAGCCUGAUCCAGCAAUACCGCGUGGGUGAAGAAGGCCUUCGGGUUGUAAAGCCCUUUUGUUGGGAAAGAAAAGCAGCAGGUUAAUACCCCGCUGUUCUGACGGUACCCAAAGAAUAAGCACCGGCUAACUUCGUG